UACGUAGGGUGCGAGCGUUAAUCGGAAUUACUGGGCGUAAAGCGUGCGCAGGCGGUUUUGUAAGACAGGCGUGAAAUCCCCGGGCUUAACCUGGGAAUUGCGCUUGUGACUGCAAGGCUAGAGUGCGUCAGAGGGGGGUAGAAUUCCACGUGUAGCAGUGAAAUGCGUAGAGAUGUGGAGGAAUACGGAUGGCGAAGGCAGCCCCCUGGGACGUGACUGACGC
RNAcentral lists this ribosomal RNA (223 nucleotides) under uncultured bacterium. RNAcentral describes it as "partial 16S ribosomal RNA". It matches the Rfam family "Bacterial small subunit ribosomal RNA", at positions 524 to 746 of the family's 1533-position model. The record is from RNAcentral.